UACACUCCUGCGGGAGGCAGCAGUGGGGAAUUUUGGACAAUGGGCGAAAGCCUGAUCCAGCAAUGCCGCGUGUGUGAAGAAGGCCUUCGGGUUGUAAAGCACUUUUGUCCGGAAAGAAAUCCUUGGCUCUAAUACAGUCGGGGGAUGACGGUACCGGAAGAAUAAGCACCGGCUAACUACGUGCCAGCAGCCGCGGUAAUACGUAGGGUGCGAGCGUUAAUCGGAAUUACUGGGCGUAAAGCGUGCGCAGGCGGUUUGCUAAGACCGAUGUGAAAUCCCCGGGCUCAACCUGGGAACUGCAUUGGUGACUGGCAGGCUAGAGUAUGGAAGAGGGGGGUAGAAUUCCACGUGUAGCAGUGAAAUGCGUAGAGAUGUGGAGGAAUACCGAUGGCGAAGGCAGCCCCCUGGGCCAAUACUGACGCUCAUGCACGAAAGCGUGGGGAGCAAACAGGAUUAGAAACCCUAGUAGUCCCA
This 474-nucleotide ribosomal RNA is filed under the name uncultured organism. RNAcentral describes it as "partial 16S ribosomal RNA". It matches the Rfam family "Bacterial small subunit ribosomal RNA", at positions 332 to 797 of the family's 1533-position model. The record is from RNAcentral.